RNAcentral lists this long non-coding RNA (400 nucleotides) under Zea mays. RNAcentral's name for it is "long non-coding RNA (ZMAY_LNC005243)". The record is from RNAcentral. Lineage: Eukaryota; Viridiplantae; Streptophyta; Magnoliopsida; Poales; Poaceae.
CUUGACUCCCCUUCAUAUCUUUGGCCUUUGGUUUUGGAGGAGUGCCAGCUGCCUUUGCUCUCUGCUCCUUCGGUACUGGUUUCUUCUGAUCGGAAGAAGGCGACGGUGAUGGCUUCUUCUGAUCAGCAGGAGAAGCUGAAGGCAAUGGCUUCUUUUUCAGGGUUUUCCGGUCAUUGAUAUUGUUGCUUAGGGUAAUGGAGCCUUGCAGCUUGAGAGCUGAUGGGUUUGUGGUGUUCUCCUUCUUUGCCUGUGCUUUCUUCGGGUUCUCAGGGUGGACCAUGGAUCGCGGCUCCCAUGGUCGUGCUGCGAUCCAGCGGUCCAUCCAGCUCCAGCCCCAGCCACCCUUACCGACUUCAUAGCUGAAGUUUCCUAGACUUGUGGCAGACCUUGCUCUCCACUG